RNAcentral lists this ribosomal RNA (604 nucleotides) under uncultured bacterium. RNAcentral describes it as "bacterial SSU rRNA". It matches the Rfam family "Bacterial small subunit ribosomal RNA", at positions 36 to 654 of the family's 1533-position model. The record is from RNAcentral.
CUGGCGGCGUGCUUACACAUGCAAGUCGAACGGGGAAAAUUGAGCUUGCUUAAUUUUCCUAGUGGCGGACGGGUGAGUAACACGUGGGUAACCUGCCCUAUGAUGGGGGAUAACAGAAAGAAAUUUCUGCUAAUACCGCAUAAAACCUUUGGGUCGCAUGACCUAACGGUCAAAGAUUAAUUGUCAUAGGAUGGGCCCGCGGCGCAUUAGCUAGUUGGUGAGGUAACGGCUCACCAAGGCGACGAUGCGUAGCCGACCUGAGAGGGUGAACGGCCACAUUGGGACUGAGACACGGCCCAGACUCCUACGGGAGGCAGCAGUGGGGAAUAUUGCACAAUGGGGGAAACCCUGAUGCAGCAACGCCGCGUGAGCGAUGAAGGCCUUCGGGUUGUAAAGCUCUGUCUUCAGGGACGAUAAUGACGGUACCUGAGGAGGAAGCCACGGCUAACUACGUGCCAGCAGCCGCGGUAAUACGUAGGUGGCAAGCGUUGUCCGGAAUUAUUGGGCGUAAAGGAUGCGUAGGCGGUCCUUUAAGUGGGGAUGUGAAAUCCCUGGGGCUUAACCCAGGAAUAGCAUUCCAAACUGGAGGACUAGAGUGCAGGAA